RNAcentral lists this ribosomal RNA (433 nucleotides) under uncultured rumen bacterium. Its description in RNAcentral is "bacterial SSU rRNA". It matches the Rfam family "Bacterial small subunit ribosomal RNA", at positions 959 to 1393 of the family's 1533-position model. The record is from RNAcentral.
ACGCGAAGAACCUUACCUAGUCUUGACAUCCCGAUGACCAAGUAUGUAAUGUACUCUUUCUUCGGAACAUCGGUGACAGGUGGUGCAUGGUUGUCGUCAGCUCGUGUCGUGAGAUGUUGGGUUAGGUCCCGCAACGAGCGCAACCCCUAUUUCUAGUAGCCAGCAGUUCGGCUGGGCACUCUAGAGAGACUGCCAGGGAUAACCUGGAGGAAGGUGGGGAUGACGUCAAAUCAUCAUGCCCCUUAUGACUAGGGCUACACACGUGCUACAAUGGCGUAAACAAAGGGACGCGAAGUCGUGAGGCCUAGCAAAUCUCAAAAAUAACGUCUCAGUUCGGAUUGUAGUCUGCAACUCGACUACAUGAAGCUGGAAUCGCUAGUAAUCGUGGGUCAGAAUGCCACGGUGAAUACAUUCCCGGGUCUUGUACACACGC